UCUUCACAUUGUCCCAUCUCCAUCUUCAAACGCACAAUUUCCUCCAUGCCUCUCUCUACAUACAUGUUCCCCUGCCUCCAAUCUUUGUCCCUUCUCUAUCUUCAAACCCCUAAACUAUAGUCUGCAGGCGCCAGCCACCUACUCCUUUAGUGGCAGAAAGUUUUUGAUUUUGAGACUUUACCAUCUGACCAGAUUCUCUCCGCAAACAUUACCGAUUCGAAUUUAGGAUUGAGGUCAAUCUCGAUGCCAUGACACAUCUAAGAAUUUGGAAGACCAUUUUGAAGAAUGCUAGCACUCUAGUAGAGAAGUUCUCCAUGGAAGUCAUGGACACAAACUUGAGUUAUGCAAGGUGGGAUAAUAAAUUUGUGCUGUCCUACUAUGCAAGAAGCAAAGGCAACCAGGAGAUUUCAAAGGGUGAUUGGAGAUGAUAAUUUAAAUGGAAGUUUUAGCUAGAUGACAUGACUAACAAUUCCUAUUAAGAAGAGUAUUUAGUAAACCGUAUAUCAAUGAUAUGUUAUCAAUGACUAAGUUUUGGUUAUAUAUAUAGCAAAAAAUUGUAAGAGUCAUGAAGGUAAAAUUGAAAAGCUACAUACUGAUGCUUUUGUAAUUACUUAUUUGAAAUUCAAAUCGGUUUCAAAAAUGUAGUUUGUGGUUUAGAGCAUUUUCUGUUUUCACUAAUUGUGUUUUGUUUCCAUGUACCUGUUUUUAAAAUACAUGUAAAUUUGGUCAAAUAUUAAUUUUUAUGCCUUACAGGGAGGAGUACAUAAAUUUGAUUUUGGAAGAUGUUGGAAAAG
Molecule: long non-coding RNA, 794 nt
Organism: Quercus lobata
Lineage: Eukaryota; Viridiplantae; Streptophyta; Magnoliopsida; Fagales; Fagaceae
Exons: 4
Source: RefSeq, a predicted model, not a curated record